GGGACAUGAUCAUGUUUUCUCUGCUAGUGCGAUUAUUACAGAAUCAAGGCCAAAUGAAUGUCAGAAAAAACAGGACUUCAAUAAAAGAAAUAUCUAGAAGCUGAUAUAAGGGAUUUUAAAGAACAUGAACCAAAUCAACCAACCAAUCAACAAGCCAAUCAAAACUCCCAAGACUUCUGCUGCUGUUCAGGAGAGAUACGUGACUAGUAUCAAAUCACUACUUGCUGUUGUGGUUUUCAGAGCGGGUCGGACAGCCUCGUGAUUGGUUCUGUCUCCCAUGGCCUUGGCGUUGGACUUCUGUUAAAAGACACGUGUCUUCCAUCUGCUGGUUCACUCCCCAAGGAGGUACAUCAUUGAAAAGUUGUGCACCUGCUUCACAGCCUCCAUGAGCAGGAAAAAGGACCUGGAAUUUCAGAAGAGACUGAAGCUCCAUGAAUGCAGACUCCUGCCUGUGAUUCUCUGAGCGGAGGCUUUGAAUAAACAGUGCCCUGAGAUUAUACAGGUACAUGGUUCAGACUGCUGGAUUUGUGGAGAUUUGUUACAUAUUAAUAGAAAACUA
Molecule: long non-coding RNA, 559 nt
Organism: Ochotona curzoniae (black-lipped pika)
Lineage: Eukaryota; Metazoa; Chordata; Mammalia; Lagomorpha; Ochotonidae
Exons: 3
Source: RefSeq, a predicted model, not a curated record